AUUGAACGCUGGCGGCAUGCCUUACACAUGCAAGUCGAACGGCAGCACGGGAGCAAUCCUGGUGGCGAGUGGCGAACGGGUGAGUAAUAUAUCGGAACGUGCCCAGUCGUGGGGGAUAACGUAGCGAAAGCUACGCUAAUACCGCAUACGAUCUAUGGAUGAAAGACGGGGGAGUCGCAAGACCUCGCGCGAUUGGAGCGGCCGAUAUCAGAUUAGGUAGUUGGUGGGGUAAAGCCUACCAAGCCUUCGAUCUGUAGCUGGUCUGAGAGGACGACCAGCCACACUGGAACUGAGACACGGUCCAGACUCCUACGGGAGGCAGCAGUGGGGAAGUUUUGGUACGAAUAGGGCGGC
RNAcentral lists this ribosomal RNA (354 nucleotides) under uncultured bacterium. RNAcentral describes it as "bacterial SSU rRNA". It matches the Rfam family "Bacterial small subunit ribosomal RNA", at positions 30 to 381 of the family's 1533-position model. The record is from RNAcentral.